UAAUGAUUUAAUGAAGUAUUAUAGAUAUAUGUAAUCCAGACAAUUUCAAUUAAGUCAAACUAUCUUUUUACAUGAGAUCAACAUACAAUGAAUAACAUUUUAAUUGUAUGCAAGCUAGUGAGUAACUCUGGUCAAGUACUAUAUACACAUGAAUUUAAUAAAAAAAACUAUCUUAAUCACAAGGAAUUAUAGAAAUCUCUAUAAUUAUAUAAACUAUGUCGACUUUUCAAAUGUACAAGUUACGACGCCUGAUUUUACUGUACUUUUGUGGAGAUUCAAAUUUGUAAUAUGUAAAGAAUCGUUGGAAAAUAACAAUAAUAAUUACUAUACUUUUGGUAUUUUAAGUGAAUUAUAUAAGAAUCACUUUGACCUUAACUUUCUUUGAAGAAAAGCUAUGUUGAUACUUAUUUGAUUAGCGACUUUAAGACUCGAGUCUGCGUCGUUGAGUCUCUGUAAGAAAUAGGAAAUAUUUUAUCUUUCCGACUUUUGGUGUACUUUUCAGUAUAUGAUUUGUACGUCUAAUCUUUAGAGUCUCUUUUAAAUAUAAAUACUUAUAAAACUAUGCUUUAUAUAAAUAAAACUCUGAGAAAAUAUGUCCUAACCUUUAAAGUGUAAGCUCAAACUGUUAGCUACAGUUACGAAAGGAUUUUAAUAUUUAGGCUUUUGAUUAUAAGCAACCUUGUGGCAUGUAGACCGAUCACAACUAACGCUUUCAAUAAGAAUUCAUUUUAUAUACAAUGAAAGAGACUCGAAAGACUUCAUAAUGACGUCAAAAGCGACUCAAAAGAUUCUAUUUCUACGUAAUACCGCCGUUCACGAUAGUGCACUUAGACUGGUUUAUGGUAAGCGACGCAGGUAAACAUGGCGGACAUUACACAGAAAAA
Long non-coding RNA from Mytilus californianus (California mussel), 884 nucleotides. RefSeq lists it as uncharacterized. NCBI's taxonomy places the organism in Eukaryota, Metazoa, Mollusca, Bivalvia, Mytilida, Mytilidae. The transcript is spliced from 2 exons. The record is from RefSeq and is a predicted model, not a curated record.